CGUCAAAUUCGGGGGGGAGUAUCACAAGCUCUUCCUGACACUUCUGUCGCUUCGGCCAGAAGUCGUCAAACUCGGGGGGGAGUAUCACAAACUCUUCCUGACACUCCUGUCGCUUUGGCCAGGAGAUGUCAAACAUUGAGCACGAUAGAUCUGUCGCUUCGGCCAGAUCAAUCGAGGAGAUAUUGAGCAUGGGAAGGAGCGGCACAAGAAGCAGCCCCUCACGGCAAGGU
RNAcentral lists this long non-coding RNA (230 nucleotides) under Zostera marina. RNAcentral's name for it is "long non-coding RNA (ZMAR_LNC003668)". The record is from RNAcentral. Lineage: Eukaryota; Viridiplantae; Streptophyta; Magnoliopsida; Alismatales; Zosteraceae.